GACGAAGGAUGCAAGCGUUAUCCGGAUUCAUUGGGUUUAAAGGGUGCGUAGGCGGACUGAUAAGUCAGUGGUGAAAUCUCUCGGCUUAACCGAGAAACUGCCAUUGAUACUGUUAGUCUAGAGUAUAGAUGACGUUGGCGGAAUAUGACAUGUAGUGGUGAAAUACUUAGAUAUGUCAUAGAACACCGAUUGCGAAGGCAGCUAACGAAACUAUAACUGACGCUGAGGCACGAAAGUGCGGGGAUCAAACAGG
Molecule: ribosomal RNA, 253 nt
Filed under: uncultured bacterium
Lineage: Bacteria
Also listed under: 2 other names
Description: partial 16S ribosomal RNA
Rfam family: Bacterial small subunit ribosomal RNA
Source: RNAcentral